Molecule: long non-coding RNA, 225 nt
Filed under: Vigna radiata
Lineage: Eukaryota; Viridiplantae; Streptophyta; Magnoliopsida; Fabales; Fabaceae
Description: long non-coding RNA (VRAD_LNC004553)
Source: RNAcentral
UGAGGCAAUUCCUUCUUCUCCAUUUCAGCUCCACCACAAUAGCUACAAGGCACCAGGCCGGAAGCACAAGGCAUGAUCCAUGUUUAGAGAUGGCGUAGACAAGAGGAAAAAUAAGAAAAACUAAUAGUGGUUGUGUGCACAAUGGUGCAAAUAAAGAGCAUAGAGUGUUUGUUGUCCAACCUUGCUUCCAUGCUAGACCCCUUCUCUCUUUCAACAUGCACAACA